AACGAACGCUGGCGGCGUGGAUAAGACAUGCAAGUCGAGCGAUCGUUAACGGGUAGCAAUAUUCGUUAGCGGGAGCGGCGCAAGGGUGCGUAACACGUGGGUAAUCUGCCGUGAAGUUUGGGAUAAUCCCGCGAAAGCGGGACUAAUACCGGAUGUGACCAUUGGGAGGCAUCUUCUGAUGGUUAAAGUUGGGGACCGUAAGGCCUGACGCUUCAUGAUGAACCCGCGGCCUAUCAGCUAGUUGGUGAGGUAACGGCUCACCAAGGCUAAGACGGGUAGCUGGUCUGAGAGGACGACCAGCCACACUGGAACUGAGACACGGUCCAGACACCUACGGGUGGCAGCAGUCGAGAAUUUUUCACAAUGGGCGCAAGCCUGAUGGAGCGACGCCGCGUGGGGGAUGAAUGGCUUCGGCCCGUAAACCCCUGUCAUUUGCGAUCAAACCUUAUUAUUUAAAAGAUGAUGAGUUGAUAGUAGCGAAAGAGGAAGGGACGGCUAACUCUGUGCCAGCAGCCGCGGUAAUACAGAGGUCCCAAGCGUUGUUCGGAUUCACUGGGCGUAAAGGGUGCGUAGGUGGUGGGGUAAGUCGGAUGUGAAAGCUCGGAGCUCAACUCCGAAAUGGCAUUGGAAACUACCCUGCU
Molecule: ribosomal RNA, 641 nt
Filed under: uncultured Hyphomicrobiales bacterium
Lineage: Bacteria; Pseudomonadati; Pseudomonadota; Alphaproteobacteria; Hyphomicrobiales
Description: bacterial SSU rRNA
Rfam family: Bacterial small subunit ribosomal RNA
Source: RNAcentral